Molecule: ribosomal RNA, 468 nt
Filed under: uncultured bacterium
Lineage: Bacteria
Description: SSU rRNA
Rfam family: Bacterial small subunit ribosomal RNA
Source: RNAcentral
AGAAUGAACGUUGGCGGCGUGGAUUAGGCAUGCAAGUCGAACGCCCCGCAAGGGGAGUGGCGCAAGGGUGAGUAAGGCGACGGUAACCAACCCCAUGAUCGGGAAUAGCCGCGGGAAACUGCGGGUAAUGCCCGGCGACGUCCGAGGGAGGCAUCUCCCCCGGACCAAAGCCCCGGCGUCGUGGGACGGGCCGUCGUGGUAUUAGCUUGUUGGCGGGGUGACGGCCCACCAAGGCUGCGAUGCCUACCGGGCGUGCGAGCGUGGCCCGGCACACUGGGACUGAGACACUGCCCAGACUCCUACGGGAGGCUGCAGUCGAGAAUCUUCGGCAAUGGGCGCAAGCCUGACCGAGCGACGCCGCGUGGAGGACGAAGGCCUUCGGGUUGUAAACUCCUGUCGAGGGGAGGAAGGGGCAACCUUGACCGAUCCCUGGAGGAAGCGACGGGCUAAGUUCGUGCCAGCAGCCGC